AACGAACGCUGGCGGCAUGCCUAACACAUGCAAGUCGAACGAGACCUUCGGGUCUAGUGGCGCACGGGUGCGUAACGCGUGGGAACCUGCCCUUAGGUUCGGAAUAACUCCCCGAAAGGGGUGCUAAUACCGGAUAAUGUCUUCGUACCAAAGAUUUAUCGCCAUUGGAUGGGGCCGCGUUUGAUUAGCUAGUUGGUAGGGUAAAAGCUUUCCAAGGGGACGAGCGAUAGCUGGUCUGAGAGGCUGUUCACCCACACGGGGACUAGGACACGGCCCAGAAUCGUACGGGAGGCAGCAGUGGGGAAUAUUGGACAGUGGGCGAAAGCCUGAUACAGCAAUGCCGCGUGAGUGAUGCAGGCCUUAGGGUUGUAAAGCUCUUUUACCCGGGAUGAUAAUGACAGUACCGGGAGAAUAAGCACCGGCUAACUCCGUG
RNAcentral lists this ribosomal RNA (433 nucleotides) under uncultured bacterium. RNAcentral's name for it is "partial 16S ribosomal RNA". It matches the Rfam family "Bacterial small subunit ribosomal RNA", at positions 29 to 507 of the family's 1533-position model. The record is from RNAcentral.